GCACAAUAAUGAUGAUGAUGAUGAUGUUGUGUAUUAAUGAUGCCCAUCAUCAUCAUCAUCGAUGACG
RNAcentral lists this microRNA precursor (67 nucleotides) under Drosophila guanche. The record is from RNAcentral. Lineage: Eukaryota; Metazoa; Arthropoda; Insecta; Diptera; Drosophilidae.